Molecule: long non-coding RNA, 224 nt
Filed under: Elaeis guineensis (African oil palm)
Lineage: Eukaryota; Viridiplantae; Streptophyta; Magnoliopsida; Arecales; Arecaceae
Description: long non-coding RNA (EGUI_LNC000204)
Source: RNAcentral
CUCGAACGGAGAAUUUAGCAGAGUUUUUAGAUAAAAAGACGAGAGCUUAGAUCAUAACAUAUCUGGGGUUCUCCUUUUUAUAGGCGGAGGGUGCCACAGACUGAUAGCGACGUUCGUAACCGUCAGGUAGUGGGCCGCCCAUAGUCAGGUGGAAUUUAUUGCGAAGGGUAGUGGAGCGGAAUCGUGGCUAUUGCCGUAGCUCGCCACGUGGAAUCAGUUGCGAG